Molecule: long non-coding RNA, 979 nt
Filed under: Olea europaea subsp. europaea
Lineage: Eukaryota; Viridiplantae; Streptophyta; Magnoliopsida; Lamiales; Oleaceae
Source: RNAcentral
AUGAAUGUUCAAUAAGCCAACAAUUUGUUACUUAACCAAUAAGAAGGUGAAACUAAUGGUUUUGAAGAAAACGAAAAGCAAAAGAAUGAAAGGUUUCUAGAAUUACAGAAGAAGUAACCUAUGAAGAUGAAGGCCUUCCAAAUCUGGCAGUGCAUUGUGCAAUGCUUUCCCCAAAAGUAAAAGGUGACUUGCAAAGGAAUAGCAUAUUUUAAACGAAGUGUUCAUCGAAUGGUAAACUCUGGGUGUACAUUUAUCAUUGAUGGAGGGAGCUGUGAAAAAUCUUGCUUUUAAGGAGAUGGUCACGAAGUUGAAUCUAGAGAUGCUUUCACAUCCAAGGCCAUAUCUAAUAGCCUGGUUCAACGAGGGAAGGGAGGUAAUGAUAACACAUUAAUGUCUUGUUCCUUUCUCAAUCGUGCAAAAUUAUAUGGACAAGUUUUAUAUGAUGUAGUGGAAAUGGAGGCUUGUCACAUGCUCUUAGGAAGGCCAUGGCAAUACAAUAAUAAGACUGCGCACCAUAGAGAACACUGCAUUUUACAAAGAUGGAGCCAAAGUAGGAAUUGCCCCAAUAAAGGAAGAAGACUUUACCAAGUCAAAAGUGGAACAUAAGAAUUCAUAUUUAAGAACAUGCUCUUAGGAAGGCCAUGGCAGUACAAUAACAAGACAGCGCACCAUGGAGAAAAGAACAAUAUGCAUUUUACGAAGAUGGAGUCAAAGUUGUAAUUGCCCCAAUAAAGGAAGAAGACAUAACCAAGUCAAAAGUGGAACAUAAGAAUUCAUAUUUGAGGCUAGUGUUUGCUUAAUAAGGAAGUUGUGAAAAAUCAUCAAAUAACGUCAAGCGAAAUGAAGGAAUUGAAUGACCACAUUAAGUUGAAGAAUCAAACAAAGGACAAAGAACAUGCAGAUAAAAGAUCGAGAGUUCAAAACUUCAAAGAGGGUAAUGUGGUGAUGGCCUAUCUAUGUAAACAGUUUCAAAUAGGCA